RNAcentral lists this ribosomal RNA (253 nucleotides) under uncultured prokaryote. RNAcentral's name for it is "partial 16S ribosomal RNA". It matches the Rfam family "Bacterial small subunit ribosomal RNA", at positions 525 to 777 of the family's 1533-position model. The record is from RNAcentral.
ACGUAGGGUGCGAGCGUUGUCCGGAAUUAUUGGGCGUAAAGGGCUCGUAGGCGGUUUGUCGCGUCGGGAGUGAAAACCAUGGGCUUAACUCAUGGCUUGCUUCCGAUACGGGCAGACUAGAGGCAUGCAGGGGAGAACGGAAUUCCUGGUGUAGCGGUGAAAUGCGCAGAUAUCAGGAGGAACACCGGUGGCGAAGGCGGUUCUCUGGGCAUGUCCUGACGCUGAGGAGCGAAAGUGUGGGGAGCGAACAGGA